Molecule: small nucleolar RNA, 76 nt
Organism: Sparus aurata (gilthead seabream)
Lineage: Eukaryota; Metazoa; Chordata; Actinopteri; Spariformes; Sparidae
Source: Ensembl
GAGUGAUAUGAUGGCAUACCAUCUUUCGGGACUGACUCUUGAAAUGGAGACUUCCUUUUUAUUUUACUGAUCACUC